AGGUCUGUAAGCUCAAAAUGUUAGAGCGCUCAAAGCAUUUGUUAUUGACCUAUUCUUUAAAAACAUUUGCUUUGAGAGGUUGGUGGUUCGAAUCCAUCUAGAUCCG
Non-coding RNA from Glycine soja, 106 nucleotides. The record is from Rfam. Lineage: Eukaryota; Viridiplantae; Streptophyta; Magnoliopsida; Fabales; Fabaceae.